Prolemur simus (greater bamboo lemur) is the source of this 160-nucleotide small nuclear RNA. Its record names the gene U1. It matches the Rfam family "U1 spliceosomal RNA". Rfam says of the family: U1 is a small nuclear RNA (snRNA) component of the spliceosome (involved in pre-mRNA splicing). Its 5' end forms complementary base pairs with the 5' splice junction, thus defining the 5' donor site of an intron. The record is from Ensembl. Lineage: Eukaryota; Metazoa; Chordata; Mammalia; Primates; Lemuridae.
AGACUUACCUGGCAGGGGUGAUACCAUAAUCACGAAGGUGGUUUCCCAUUAUGAGGCUUAUCCAUUGCACUCCAGAUGUGCUGACUCCUGCAAUUUCCCCAAAUUGGAGAACUUGACUGUAUAAUUUGUGGUAGUGGGAGACUGUGUUCAUGCUUCCCAC